RNAcentral lists this ribosomal RNA (611 nucleotides) under uncultured bacterium. Its description in RNAcentral is "bacterial SSU rRNA". It matches the Rfam family "Bacterial small subunit ribosomal RNA", at positions 338 to 945 of the family's 1533-position model. The record is from RNAcentral.
CCUACGGGAGGCAGCAGUAAGGAAUAUUGGUCAAUGGAGGCAACUCUGAACCAGCCAUGCCGCGUGCAGGAAGAAGGCCCUAUGGGUCGUAAACUGCUUUUGUACCAGAGAAAACCCGAGUACGUGUACUCGGUUGAUAGUAUGGUAAGAAUAAGCAUCGGCUAACUUCGUGCCAGCAGCCGCGGUAAGACGAAGGAUGCAAGCGUUAUCCGGAUUCAUUGGGUUUAAAGGGUGCGUAGGCGGACUGAUAAGUCAGUGGUGAAAUCUCUCGGCUUAACCGAGAAACUGCCAUUGAUACUGUUAGUCUAGAGUAUAGAUGACGUUGGCGGAAUAUGACAUGUAGUGGUGAAAUACUUAGAUAUGUCAUAGAACACCGAUUGCGAAGGCAGCUAACGAAACUAUAACUGACGCUGAGGCACGAAAGUGCGGGGAUCAAACAGGAUUAGAUACCCUGGUAGUCCGCACCGUAAACGAUGAUUACUCGUUGUUGGCAAUAUGACCGUCAGCGACCAAGCGAAAGCGAUAAGUAAUCCACCUGGGGAGUACGCCGGCAACGGUGAACUUAAAGAUAUGCGNGAGAGAGCGACGACGACGACGACGGAGGGAGGAGG